UGGACUGUUCGGUUGUCUCACCCAGAC
RNAcentral lists this non-coding RNA (27 nucleotides) under Rattus norvegicus (Norway rat). The record is from RNAcentral. Lineage: Eukaryota; Metazoa; Chordata; Mammalia; Rodentia; Muridae.